UCUACAUUGUGUUCGUCCCCCCACGGGUACCCCGGGUGCCAGGGGCGCGCUGCUGCGCUGAUGAGGGCGGCGGCUCGGGGCUGUGGCACAGCUCCUCGGGCCCGAACCGAGCCGGAGCUUAACGUCGGUAUCUGCCGCUUUGCACUCUCCAUCACAUUCUUUGCAAACUUCUCCUGAGGGGCUGGGGGAGGAGUGAGACGGAGAGGGGGAGGGGGAAACUAACCCCAGGUGAGACCGCGCUCUUGAGGUGCCGCGGACCCUCGCUCCGAUGUCGCCGGGCUCUGCGCCGACCGGGGAGGCUGAAACACCUUCCGCCGGCGCGGAGCAUCGCGCACCCCCCGUCCCUGCGCCGCUGUAGCAGCGGUUUGGUUUAUCCGAGACAUUACCGGGACUGUUAUUCCAGGAAAGGCAGAGCGCAGCGCGCUCCCGGCCGCCCGGGCCUGUCCAUGUGCUUACCGCGCCACCGUGAGGCGGCCGCGAGCCCCGCACCGAGCGCCCGCCGCGCUCCCGGGGCAGCCGAACGCGCCGCGGCCGCGGGGACCCCGCGCAGGGCGGACGGGGGCGUCGGGGCUCCAGGACAGUGCAGGCCGCUGCCUCCUGCCCGCUCUCAGGGGCCGGAGAAAGACGGGGAGAAUUUUAUGGAGAAUUGAGGAGAUAGGAAUACACAAAGCGAAAGCAGCGCACCGGUGUUUUCCUUAACCCCCUGCCUCGAGACUUUCUCCCUCCUUCGCCUGUCUCGCCGUGGCUGGGCGCUCCUCGGAGGAUUGGGGUGAGUAGGGCAGAGCGCAUCCCGGGCCGCUCCUCCCGCCGGCACCGCUCCCUGUAAAUCCCCUCCGACCCCCCUGCUGGAAGGCAGCGUCCCCUCGGAGCGUGUGCCAGGGAGCACUGCUGGCUCCUCUGCCCAUCCUCUUUCCGCCUCCUUCCCCGGCCAAAAUCAGGCCAGUUGUACUGCCCGGGCUUUCCUCGAAGAUUUUCUUUCUCAAGUCUUUUAGGUGAUUUCAAGCUUGAGGCUGGGGUUUUGGUUAUAUUUAUAUUAAUGGAAGGGAAAUGGGAAAAAAGAAAAUAAGAAAGACUAGGCUGUCACCACCCACGGACAUUACCUGGGGUGACACUGCUAAAAGUUGUGGACAAGGCUCAGGAUGAUGAGUUUCUAAGGCAUGCUCCAGGCACAUGAAAGCAAUGGAAAUGGAUCUAGUGCAGGAGACAUCCACUUAUAGAGGGGCACAACACAUCACUUACCUCUCACAGAAAGCUUUCACCCAGAAGGGGGUUCCUCUCAGGAGGCUUUUAGCAGCUGGUGGAAAGCAUCCCAGCUACCGGAAGAUAUCCAUCAUGUUGGGGCAUCCUGGCACCCAGAAAAGCACUGACUGCACCGGCAAGGUUGAAGUCCCUUAACUCCCACCUACUACUUGCACUGGCAGAGUAACCUCCACACCUGACUCAUAUGAACUCUAAUAACGAGCUCCAAAAGAUGGCAAUUACAUUCAGCUGUGAUUAGGAAUCAACUUAACAUUGGAUACCUGAUGCUUUUCAUGCACAGAGUUAAAGUAGAAAAACAGUAGCGUGACUGUGGAAGGUGCAAAUAUUUCUAGUGACAUGCAUCUGCUCCUCCUAAUCUGGGAAUUUCACCUAACAGCUGGAUUUGUCUGUUUGUCAUCUUAAUCAUUUUUCACCUCCCAUCUCUGUACAACAGGAUGACCAUAAACCACCGCUAACAUAGAAAAACGCAGCUCAAGAUUAACAGUGAUAUUAAAUGCACUUUUCCAGAAGCAACCCAAAGCCAUGCCAGAGAUGUUUAGAGCAAUCAUCACACUCCUACUGAGGCAUGCACCUGUGUGGCCUCACAUAUUAUACCAAUUUUCCCAGCUUCACCUGGGAAUAGCAGAGCUUGUUUUGGGUAUGAGGGGAAGAUCUGUGUCAGGUAGAGCCGUACCUGCACACACUUUUGAGGGGCUGAGAGAGGACUUGUGCUACAGGAGCCCCUUACAGCCCACAGUAGCUCUAUUUUAUAUUCCAGCCCAGAGUAAACUCUAGGUCAGUGGUGCAAACAUGAAACUUGCUGAGGAUCUUCCCUUAGAAUCUCAGUGACACAAAAGCCCUUGCUGAAACAUGACGACUGCAAACCCCUAUCAGCACACCACGGUGCUUUUAUUUUCUCACUGGCAAUGUCCCAUUCUGACAGCACAUGCUGGAAUUCAACAGAGCGUGUACAGGCUUUCUAUUGUAACACUGCAAUUAUUCCAUCAGUUUAUUUUUUGUUUCAUACACCCACCCCCUCAAAUAAAAAAUAACCCCACCAGCAAAACAAAAUUUUCAAAGUCCCUGACCGACCUACUGUGCUACAAACAUACACCAAGUAAAAAAAAAUCCAAGCAAACAAACAAAAAGACCCAAACAAAAAUAUCAAAAAACAACCCUGUAGGUUAGAAUAAAUAAACAAAGUUGUCUUUGACCUGGAGACUGGCCCUGACUGCAAAUAAAUGUACUACCACUUAGCCACAUAUACAUGCCACAUGAACAGAAAUAAAAGGAAUCCUCAAGAUAGGGCAAUGAUUUUGUAUUUUAUAUUACUACCACUGUGCACUUAUAAAUUGCAUUGGUUUCAAGGUGUUCUUUUGCAUUUGUGACAAUAUGGCCUAAUCUUGUAGGCUCAUGUCACUGCCAGUUGUUUCAUCCAGAAGCUCAAGUCCUGUGCAUGUGAACUACAUGCUUUGUAUGAAGAGACUCAAAAUGAUGAUGCUGGAAAGAUUAACAGUUCAGAAAAUACCAAGACAAGAGGUUAAAAUGUCUACAAAGAUAUUUUGGGGUAGGGAGUUGUUUCAAGCUGUCCAAUUUUAUUUGGAGCUUGUAAAUAUCGUGGCAUAUCCCACACCAUGUCCUCCCUCCUCUCCUCUUUGGGCACUUCACAUUUUCUUACCCAAAUAUGCAGUAGUAACUUCUUGCAACAAAGUUGACUAAGAAGCAAAUCACUGUAUAAAUCUUUCAAAACAUGUUUAAAUAUAGCUUAGUAGACCGGGAAUGUUGGGCAGAAACUGCUGAAAGCACUCAUGCUGGUGAAACUGAAAUGCGACAUGAUCUCAACGUAUUCGAACGUUCAAUUAUAUGAAACAUUUUUCCAGGGUAAUAUCAGAUUUAAGACUGAAGUGAAGUAAAUAUGAUUGGACUGUUCUGGAAUCUUCCUAAGACAAAUGACUGAAAGAUCAAGGUGUUUUAUUUCCUAUUUGGAUCAAUGAUCAAUAAGUCUUAUAUAUGAGAAUCACACAUUUUGAAUAGAAAACACACUUUUUUAAUAACUGCAAGUUAGACUGAAUAAAAUUACUAUGUUUGGAGAGCAAAGCUCACUAUUUUUUAAGUCAUUGCAAUCUAUAUAAUUAUGAAGUAACUUGAAUAAGGCAUCUUACAUUGGUCCUAAAUUUUUUCCUCAAGUAAAACACUCAUUGAUUCCAACGUGAGUGUUGCCUGAGUAAUAGAGUUCCCUGUCAAACUGUUAAAAUCAGCUAACUUCUAAAAGCCUGCAGAUUGAUGGAAUAACGUGAUUAUACUAAAGGUAUGUAUUUAAUAUGGAAAAGAAAAUUCAAGUUACCAGGCAAAGCCUUUUCACAUUUCCCAUUUACAAUAAAACAAGGCAGUAAUAAGUAAAUAUUUUUAGGGGGUUUAUAAUUCUGUGCCUGAUCAUGAAGACAUUUCAGCUUGUGAUUUUAUUUAUGUAAGUCAUGCCAGUGAAUCAGUAUUCUCAUGUCACAAGCAUUUGAGGUUUAGUAUCUAGGACAAUAGAAAUAGGAAGAAACUGCUUUAAAUAUUCCACUAGCAAAACAAGACUGCUUUUUGCCGUGGAUUGCACUGUAAGAGUUCUUUUGGAAUGUCGUGUUUAAAAGUUUGUGAGUGAUGAUAUACAUUCUCUUUGUUUUGAGUGAAUAAGCCCUUUGUCAACAUAACGUAGCAGAGUUAGAUUUUAAAAAGGUUCUCAUAGAAAGCCAGAAUUCCUUCACAAAAAAAACCAACAUCAGACGAACGAAAAAUACUGACAUACACCUCUUUCUGAUUUUUUUUAACAUGAACUAUUAAAAGCUUGAUUCUAAUAAGAAUAUUAAGUAAAUAAAUGUUAGCUCUACUCAGUGCUAUUAGCAUAGUUGAAAUAGUAGUUUAUAAAUUUUUGAGAGCAUCAGCAUCAUGAUAUGGUUGUCAUAGAAACUGCAACAAUAUGUCAUUUCAAUUAAUUUUACAUGCAGUGAUGCUGAGGUCCGUGUAACAUUUCUUUUAGGAAGUUCUGGAAGUAAAUCUUGAAUAGCAGGAAUAAAAACAUUAAUAGGUAAUGGUACCCUAAAUUAUUAUUUAAUUAACAAAAUAGGGAGAAAUCUAAAUUAUUCUAAAAUAAUGACUGUGCUGGAGGAAUUAGUUAAGCAGACUUUGACUUCAAAACACCAAAAUUAAAAGACAAAAGCUGCAGAAACAUUCAAACUCUAAGGGAAAAAAGUAUCUUUUCCCAAAUGAAGCAGAUUUAGAAAAAAAAAAGAACAUAAAAAAAAGAUUUAUUCCUGUUCACAAAAUAUAAAACAUUAAAUAGUUUUAAAUCAUCAAUGUUCCUUUUGUGUGUGCAAGAAGGAAAAAGUCAAAUGUUACAAAUCCAGGACCAUAAUACAAGAUUUUUAAAAAAGCUUUAAAGGUAGGAAAUGUAACAUGAAUAGAUUUAUUUUUCCUGUAUAAUGCAGCUACUGUGUGUUAUGAAUGCUACCUUAAGUAAAUCACUGCCAGACACACUCAACUGACAUUAAUGACUUGAUUAUUAGAACAGAAAAGCUAACCAAAAUAAAGGCAAUGUUUCUAAAAAAAUAAUAAUUGUACUGUGGCAGUGGGAGUUUUUUAUUUAUUAUUUUUGAUGUUAUGUAUGAACAUAUACUCCUGUUUUUUUAUUGCAUAUGUAUGAUACAAUACCUGACCUGAUAGUUUAUAUAUGAAAGAAAAUACUGAGCAGAUCAUAAUGAGAAAAAAAUGUAGAUUUUCAACACAUUUUAUACAGCAAUCAAUAAUUCCAUAGUAUAUUUUGAGUAUAUUACUGAGUUGCCACACAGACUAGAAUGUGCAAGACCUUUCAAACUGAGAUGUGAAACAAGCUGUCCGUAAGUAAAUAAAAACUAUCAAUAUUAGAAAAAAAAAACAAAAGAAAAGAAAUUAAAAGGAAAAAAGAAGAAAGCCCCCAGCCUAUGCAAGCUAUCUGCAGUGAGAAAGGAGAAGCAUCCAGAGCUCUCCUUUCUGAUAGGAUUAAGGAAUGCUACAAAAGAAGCAUUUAAAUCUCUAGUUUUCCUGACAAUUAACAAUGAAAAGCAGAUGUUUACAAAGCUAUUUUACAUGCUCGUUUAUAAGAUGCUAAAAGAUGGUUUGUGGAUGGUAAGAAGGAAGAGCUGGAUAACUGCUUGUCUGGUGUAUAUUUAAAAGCAUUUUCAUUGGCUCAGUUAUUGUUAAUAAUGAAAGAAACACUUUGUGCUGUAUAGCUGUGACUAUAGAAAACUGCCGUCGUAAAGUCCUCAACAAACUCUUAAGAUGCAAUUUACAAAGAUAAUAAUAACACAGAAUUAUUUCACUUCUCUGAAUGCUACACAUUUGCAUACCAGGACUGUGUACAAUAUACUCAUAAUGCACAUUCAUAACAACAAGGACUUCUUAACAUUGCAACAGCACAAGAUCUGUGCAUUAAAAAUCUACAGUUCCAAGUUUUCCUUUUUGGUGGGAAACCAUUUGUAUAAACCAGAUGCUCUGCAUCUUCUCAGAGAAAGCUCACAUUCAGCUCUACACCUUUACUGAAUGGGACCAUAUCAAGAAAAUUAAAAAAACACUCUAAGGUAGCAGCAAUAUUAAUAAAUUCCCCCUCACAGAGAAACACGGCCAAUCAAGUUUUCCCACAAAUUUGAGCAGAAGUCUGGUCUAUAACUGUGAGUCAGGAGAUUUGGGUUCUGUUCCUGGCUGUGCUACAAACCUACAGAGUGUUUCUGAACAAGUCACUUACACCAAGUCACUUGAGUAGAAAAAUGCUAAGAAUGCCUGCCUCAAUUUAGACAGAUCCAUAUCUGCUUCUAUCGGCUUCGAUGCGUGCAAAUGUGGACAUAAGUCUCUAAAAACCUGGGGCCUACCCUUCUUGGACUUUGCAUCUUAUCCUGUUUCUCUACCUGGAGGGAGCCUGUUGAGGACUUAAUUCAUGAAAGACUCCUCACAUACCAAUUAUAUUUAUGCAUAACAAGAUUCCCAUUAAAAGCCCCAGCCCCGCUUGUUUCAUGCUUACAUUUCACUUCACACAUUUGUAGGAGUCCCAUUUACUCUAAUAGAAUUAUUCACUCUGUAUAAUUCUGGGCAUCUAAACUUCUGCAGUAUCAGGAGCUAAGUUAAUGGAAUAGAUAAUGUGUAGAAAUACUCAUAGUUAGUAAUGAGCUUCAGCCUUCACACUUAAAAUCCUGCAUCACAUUGAAUAGGAGGAUUUUUAAGUAUUGUUAUUACAAUGUCCAAGACAGUGCGUAGCUGAUUUGACAUUAAAAUUUUUUGAAAUCUUGGCAUAUCUACAUUUUCAAAAUAAAUAAAACUCUCUUUGUAAAGUAUAAACUAAUUCCAAAAUCUGCAGUUCCAAUCAUAAAAGGCAGUCAUAAAUCACCUGUGCGUCACCACCAUCCAAGCUGCUUUUGGUUACUGCCUCAGCCACUGAAUAAAUUCUAAUUUUUGUUAAUGCUUAUGUUAUUCCUACUACUUCUCCAGUUGUGAAUGAAUAUAUUACACUAAAGUACAAAAAUAUUUAAUUCAUAUUAGUUGGCUAGAUUUCAUUUCCUCGACGGACUCUUCCGCAACUCAGACUUCCCAUCUCCGGGACACUCUCUUGGACUGAAAUUGUGCUACAUGCAUAAUGAUAUGCAAAGUAGGUCAAGUUUCCAACGUUCAGCUACAGCCAUCCUUAACUUCACCCAAAUGGAUACUUCUCACAUGGCGAAAACUAAACACGCGUAGAAAUGUUUACAGUAUUUGGGCUGAAAGUAGCAAACAGUCUUCCUGCCUUAGAUGGACUUUUACCAUAACACAAAUUAUUUAUACAGAAAUCUAACAGCAAGGGAUAAUUGGAAAUAUUUUGUCUACCUUUCAACAAAACACCAUGGGGAAAAUACCUUCCCAGCAGCUGUCGUUGGUAGGGCAGAAGGGGACAAAAGAAGGAAGCAGCUUCUCCCUGAGUCAUUGCCAAGUACCAAACCAGCUAAGACAAUGCAGCUCACAACUGCCCACUUUUUCUAGUAAAACAUUCCGCAGCCCUGAAACACAAAAGGUAUCCUCCCUUCUCCCUCCCCUCCUUCCCACAGAAAUAACACUCCUGGCUGGGUCCUUGACUGCUGGCCUGCCACAACCACAGAGGAGGGAACACAAUUUGCCUCCCAGUAUUUUGCCGUUAUUUUAAUUUGAUGGUAUUUUAAUAAUACAGAAUGGUUAGACUCCUCAGACUGCCGUCUGAAAUGUUGGUGACUAAGGGUUCUGUUCUGAGUAGGUUCUUUCCUUUUUUUUUAUUUUUUAUUUUAAAAUUUUCUUAUUUUCUGGUUUGAACAUUUCUUUCAAUUAGCUUUCUGAUUUAAGCAAUAGAAAGGUUAGCAUUAUAGGGUUGGGGUUUCUCUUAAAUUAACUUAGGAAAUGUUUAUGGCAUUUAUCAAAGGAGUCCAUGUUCCUGGAAGUUGGAAUUAAAAGAAAAAACAUGUUAAGGAAAAAAAGAGCACUUUAGAAUCAAUAUGGUCACACACACCCCAGAUCCCCAACUCAUACAGUCAGCAAGCAAUCAUUUCUUUAGUAUGGCAAUUUUCCACUUAAGCACUGAAACCUCAACCUCGAUGGUAAAGCAGUAUUCAGGGCACCAGAGCUUCUGCCUUUGCUUUUCUUGUCCUUUCUGCAACCUAGAGUUGCAAAGGACAUUUGUCAUGUUAGGUUUUCCUAAUGUACGAAAGAGGGGAGAACUGAGUGUGGAAUUAGCAAUGUAUUGGAUUUGAAUGCACACUUUUAUCACAGCCACACGUGACAAACCCUUUAUAGAACAUCCUCCACAGUCGUGUUCAGAACAGGGAGCAAUUCCUGAAAAACAACACUAAAUUCUCUGACACACUUCCUAAGGUUCUGGGUCGAAGGAAGAGAAACAGGGAUUUGUCAAGGUCUAUUUAAUGAGUCUGAGAAAUGAAAACACUAAAAUCUGUGGUUUAAAUGUAGUACACUGUACCAAAUCCUUUUUUCAAUUUGAAAAAACUCAUCUCUCUCCUUUACAGUAUUUGGCACACUUGUUUUCCAAGAGUGAGAUUCAAACUUUUCAAAGCCUUUACAUAAGGAACUUGCUUCUUUUUGCUCAAAAAAAUUAAUGAAUGAUACAAAUCCUUUGAUUUAGAGAGAAGCUUUAUUUUGUGGAGAAUAUUAAGAGAUUUUACUGUUGAUAUUUCCACAUUAAUAUACAUUAUUUAUCUCCACAGGGUGGCGAAAAAGAGAAAAUUGCAAAGACUUACUGGGUGGCAGGAAGUGGGAUUCACUAUAAUCAACAGCAGCAGGGGACUCUUUGAGGUUGUGUUGCAAGAUAUAUUCAAGAUUUUAGCAGAAAGAAAAUAAUUGCAUUUAAUAUUGUGCUGGUGGGAAAUAACAUAUGUUCAAUCUUUUCCAGCUUUUAAACUUACAUUUAGAUUUAGACUCUUGCCCUUUCAAUGCAGAGAUACUACUCCUGAAAAUCUGGAUUUAUUUUUUUAAAUUCUUAUUUUUAACCACACUUAUGCAGAGAAUAUCCUGUUAUUAGCCAGCUAGAUUUUUAUGCUACUUGCAAAUUUUACUUCAAAAAUUUACUAAGGUUUCAUGAACGUACUCAGUGGAAUAAAUAAAUAGCUCUAUGUUCAAUAAGCAAGCUUUUGCCAAAACACAGUAAAGUUUCCAGCAUUAUUUUACUUUGGAUACUUUUUUAAUGUAAAACCCAAAGAUUAUAUAUUUUCUCUGAUGUUUGCUUAAAAUUUCUUUCUCGUUCAAAUCACUACAUUUCUUAGAAAUUCAGAACUUCUUUAAAAUGGAUGUAGCUCUGUCUGUGUAAAGAGUAACUAAUAGGUUGAUGAAAUAUUUGCAAUUAGCUAAUACAAAAAAGCUGACAGUCAUAUAAAGGUUUUCCACACUUAAAGGGAUUAAAAAUUUGUGCAUAUGAUAAUUGAGCUUCAAUCUUAGUUUAUAGCUCAUAAAAGUUCAGGAAAUUAAAAGUAGCUGUCUAGUAUAAGCUAACUGUGCAGAAUUUCCUUAUAAUCAAAUACAUUCAUACAGAGGGGUAUCACCAUAGCACAUUUCAAUAUAGCCCUGGUUUGAAGUAGAAGAGAAACUAGAACUGGAGAAGUAUGUCUCUUUCUCCCACCUUAAAAAAGACCUCAAAACAAUUAAUUUAGGCUUGAUUAGAGACUAAUUUUGUAGUAUUUCUAGUAUUGUAGAGACUAAGCCAAGUGAGAUGAAUUCCAAUUUGCACAGUAAUUGCAAUUCUUGUCUAGUCUUACUGUUUACCUUCAGUCAUUCCCUGCUUGGUGCUACUCCAGAAUGGGUAUCUUGGAGCAGAUCAUCAUCUGUGCAAGGCUAAAGGAGCAGUCAUCAUUUAGGCCAAUAGCAUCAGCCUAUUCCUUCCCAAUGAAUUUAGUUGCACACUUCUGGAAACCAUAUGAAAUUAUUUUUCAAUGAAAAUCUGUUAAAUCUGUUCCUUUUUUUCAUAACCCUAUUGCUUUAUUCAUUUUCUCUACAAAUACAAAUGGAAUUACAUGUAUAUAUGUGUAAAAACACAUCAUGGAUUUCUGAAAUAUUAAAGAUGCCAGACCUGGACUUUAAAUCAACAGGGGCUUACAGGUGGCUACCAAGAGACUUAAAUUGGGAGUUGUGGGGGAGAACAAUUUUCCAUUCAAGAACAGUGUUCUUAAAAGUCAUGUCAAGGCUAAACAGGCUGGUUCAUUGGCAAAAUGUAAUAAAUAUAUAUGCAUGUACUUCACAAGCUGCAAUUCCAUGGUUGCUUUACAUGACUUAAUGAGUGGCAUGUACUUUUUUUAUGAUUUAAAAAAAAAAAUUUACUUUUCUUGCUCCACCCUCACUGCCAGCAGUAACACUACAUGGCUCCAUGCUCUGUCAGCUGAAGCAACUGCUGUGGUUUUGGGAGGCAAGGAGAGGGCUCCUGUUGUGAUUCAGAGAAGUACAACUACACAAAAUGUAGUGCUGGCCCCAGAGGGAAGAGCAGCAGGGAAUGGGUGCUGGUGUGGAGAUCAGCUCAGAGAAAAGGUGGAACUGCAGCCUGCGGGUGGGAUCCAAUGGCAGCUCAAAGCUACAAAGAAUUCAGGUGAUCAGAGCCUCCUCUACCGACCAAGGCUUUCCAUUCUUUCCCUUGCCUCAGCACUAAUACCCACACACGUGGGCAGGAGCCAGCCCAGGGAGGCUGCUGGUCUGUAAGCUAACCCCACCAAAGAGAAGAGGAAAAAAAAAAAAAAAACCAAAAGAACAAUGAAACAAAAAAACUUUUCAGCCAGAUCUGCUCCAAGAAGCAAUUCACAGAAGGAUCAGACAAGAGCCAGUGCCAGCACAGCGCAGAAGGUGGAAACACAGAGCCAGAGCCAAUAGAGGAGAGGACAAGGCAGCCCAAACUUUGAUCAACUCCAGCUGUGAUGGACCCAGAGCUGGAGCCAGCCUGACCGCUUAGAAGCUUCCUAAAACCUCUGCACUUUCUCUAAAAACACUGAGAUAGAAUGAGUAUCACCAUCACAGUCACCAAGCUGCUGCUGAGGCCACAAAGUGAUAGUUUGGAAUAAAGGCAGCACUCCUUAACCAAGAUAAAUGAUGGAUUCUGCUGAGCUCCGCAGAGAUGUGCUAGCGCCAUGAAAACCCUGAAAGAAUCUUGCACCUGCUUAAAUUCAGACCAAUCUUCCAGCAAAAGGGCCAUUCUUAGCAGAAAUUAUAUGUAGGCUCCCAUGGUGUAGAAACCCUAUGAAAGCCAUGAAAAUUCACUAAGCUUCCUUACGUCCCAUGCCAAGAUAUUCAGCAGGAACUUUGGUCGUUGCCAAGAAACACGUGUGCCUCUGAUACAGAAGCUCUGCGUGUACCGGUAUUUCAACAUUCCUGGAGAGAAAUGUGACCCCUUGAUGCAUACACUGGUUUGCUGGCAUGCUCACAUUCCUCCCCAUCUGUCAGAGUGGCAUGCUGCCUUCUCACAAGGUGGGAUGCCAGUUCAGGAGCACAGGUGCCAACCAAAUAUAGGUUCGGACUAAUACUCUGCAAAAUGUGGCAAAUGACAUUUCACCUGCAAGAGGACCAUCCUACCUGUGGCCCAUGCCAAAUUAGGAGUGCAUGCUUCAUUAGCAAAGGGGGUCAUCAGCUGAAAAUCACAGGCAGAACCAGAAAUGCUGGCUUUCUGGAUAACAUCUCCUAGCUGAGAGCCUGCAGCACCGAGGUUUAAUCUACAAGACGCCAAAUUUUCCUAACAUUGCAGCCAUACAGUCCUUUGGAGCAAGGUGCAGCAGACCAUGGACAGAGAUCUGUUGAAUUCAUCCUCCCAGACUCAUUUCUGACAAAUGUCAAGAUUCUUAAAAAAGGCACAUGAAUUAACAGUGGGGGGAAAGCAUAAAUAAAGAUUUGUGUUUCCCCUGAGGGGGUUUCUAGCACCACAAAGAAAACCAUCUUCAUUAUGAUGGUCCAAAAAAACCAAACCAAAACUAAAACUAUUUUCAACCAAAUUGCUCAUAUAAUUCUAAAAUUCUUAACAUCUAUAAAAUAGUUUGAAAUAGAUUGACAUACAACAUAAAAAAGUCAUUAGUUUCUAGUUUGAGAAUUUAUGUACAUGUGAAAGUCAUGAACAGCCAUUACACAAAAAUCAUUCAACAUGCAAUGACAACACUGGAUAACAUUAAAUGGUAUUCCAAUAGCCUCAGAAUGAAGUACAGUUUGAACCCUUUCAUUAAUAAAAAUAUUCCCCACUAUAUUAGUCUAACCAGAAAAAUUAAAUCUUCCAUUGAUCAAUAAACAGAAUAGCCACAAAGUAGUGUUGGUUUUGCCUCCAAAUGAGCACAGCCUACUUGAUUUAUAAAUGUACAACAGAAAAAUGGAGCACUGCUAGUCUUAAAAAAUUACCAGCUUUCAGGAAACAAUUCACUAUCCUUUCUUUGGUAAUUUACUAUGAUUUCUGUAAUUUAUUUAUCCCAGGAUGUACCUGAUACAUCGUCAGCUUUAGGUGAUUUUGUUAAACUGGCCAUCCAAAAAUUAGUCAUAUUAUGCAUAAUUCUGCAUUAUUUAGGCUAUUCAGAAGGCACACCACUGCUAUUCCCAAAUGACAAACUCAGAGCUAUUAAUUCUUACAAGCACAAAAUUAUAACUCAAUACAUUGAAUUCUGCAAUUACAAUUCAAUACACUAAGAUGCAAAGUCCUGCCUCUGAGAUGGAAUAACCCCAUGCAACACUACAGGCUGGGGGCCAACUGGCUAGGAAAGCCUAUUUGCAGGGAAAAAAACUGGAGGUCCCUGUGGACAAACUGAGCAUGAGCCAGCAGUGUGCCCUGGCAGCAAAGGCAGCCAGCAGCAUCCCAGGCUGUUUUAAGAGAAGCAUUGCCAGCAGGUUGAGGGACCUGGUAAUUUCCCUCUUCCUGGCAUUUGAGAGACUGCAUCAGGAGCAAUGGUCCAGCUCUGGUCUUCCCAGGACAAGACAGAUACUCAAACAGUGAAGCAAGACAACUGGGAGGCUGCAGUGUGAUAUACAAGGCAGACAAGAAGCUGAGAGAGCUGGGCUAGCACAGCCUGGGGAAGAGCAGCUGAAGGUGAGAGCUUAUUGCUGCCUGCAGCAGCCUAACAAGAGGAUGCAGGGAAGAUGGAACAAGGCUCCUUGCAGAGGUGCACAGGGACAUGACAAGAGGUAAUGGACACAAGCUGAACUAUUCCAAUUCAAUACAAGGAAGAAAAAAUUAUCUUGAGGGUGGUCAAACACUGGGCUAGGUUGCCAAGAAACACUGUGGCAUCAGCAUCCUUGGACACAGUCCAGCUUGACUGGAGAUGGCCCUGUGUAACCUGCUCUAAUUGGACCUGCACCGAGCAAGAGGUAGGACUGGAUGGCCCCCGGGUGGUGCUUUCCCAUCUACAUAUUUCUGUGAAAUAUGUGCUAGGAUUUUGUAUGAUACACAUCCCAGUUCUAACAACGUACAGGAAUAUUUCAGAGUAUCACACUCUAGGCAAUCACUAAGCUAUUCAGGAUCAGCAGCCAGCUUUACAUUUGCCUUUCUUGUCUUUUCCUUCAAACAAAGUCUUCAGUCUUUUGUACAGAACUUAUUUCUAGUAAAUUAACAGCAUUAGACAUGGCAUUUAUACUACGCCUUCCCACUUUGGAUCCCAAAUGCUUUAGAAAUGAUGCAUUACUUAACAUAGAAACAGGCUCCUGUUAUGCCCCCAGCAAAACAGGGAAGGUGGCAUAAAGUCAGUGGAACAGCAUAUUUUUCUUCCUGUCACACUGUGCCUGUACGUCACUACCACUAUCCUAAAGGAUUUUGUCCUGCCCACAAUUCCAUGACAGUCUCAGGCCUGUCAAAGAUACCACCAUAUUAAGUGGACAUACUCUUUCAUGCCUAGGUUAAUUGAUUUAAAAUUUAUUAUUUCAGAUUAAUAAAAAUUUCCUGAUGCUUGGGCUGCAAAUUUCCACGCUCAAAGUCAAAAUGUACAUAAAUUGCUGCAGUAUUGCACCUGCAACUUACUAUAAUUUAUUAUUAAGAAUAUGAAUAUCAAAAUGGUAAAGUCUACUUUAGUACAGGCAGAGUGAACAGUAGGUUCCUGGCAAUGAUGCCAUAUAGUUUAUAGUUUAUUAAUAGAGUGUAGAUCUUGAAAAGAUCACUACAUUAAUUUUAAAGGCUUCAUGUAAGAAAUAAGAUGUUGGUAUUAAACAGGUAAAAGAGAGUAAUGAAUUUCUCUUUUAUUUUUGUGUUUCUUGCAGUCUCUCAAAGCCAAUAGGCUGUGACUGAAACACAAUUAAUAACCCAUGAGUCUAGUAGAGGAAUAAAGCAAAUAUGUAUUUGAAUGUCCUUUGUAGAGAUCUUCCAGUAGCUAAGAGGAGCAAAAAUCAGCAUUGCCAAGGAGAAACUCUUCCUGUGUUUUCAGGAACACAAGUCACAGAACACAUACAAACUGGCUAAAUAACAUGAGGCACAUUUUAACCAGAUACAGUCAGGACACAAAUUAAUGAAAUCGUUUUUGUAGCAGGAAAAAUCUUUCUGAUGCAGUGGCAGGGGACAGUAUUGUAAUAUAGCUCUACCAGGGAGGUGCAGAUAUUGACAGGAAAAAUCAUCUUCUGCAGUCUUCAAAGGUUAUUUGGACACUGGGUACAUAUGAAAAGUCUGUGUGCUCUACUGAUGAUGAAAGUUGAGGAGAAACAUUUCUUUUCAAAAAGGACCCUGACUUGGGAGCUGUGCAGAUACAUCAGAGCUUUAGCACACCUGUUUUUUUCACAUCUUUAAAAUAUUUCUCUAAGGAUCAAGUGAAACCAGCAGGAUAAAGAUACCAGGUGCUAUUUCUUACUCCUUUCCACUGACCAUUUCCACAAAUAUUACUGAAGUCCCUAGGGAAAAGAAACUACAACAAUCAUACAGGGCUAGGAAGGAGAACACACAGAGUCACAGAUUUUCCAUACCACUUACAUUUCCUUCUAAUUUCUCUUUGCUCAUUCAAUAAAAGAUUCAAAGCUGUUAGGAACAGAAACAGUUAUAUGAAGAGACAAAUUCUGUUUACUGACUAUUUUCAGCAGACUUCAAAGACUUUGGCUUACACAGCACUGUGAGACUCAAAAAAGGAUAAUGUUAAUUGUGUUCAACCUUUUCCAGCAGAGUGUUACUCACCUGGAGUAUGUUAAGCAGUGGUUUAUUCACACCAUCUUCAAAUUACUCCUAAGAUAAAUUCAUUAAGAUGAAAAUGUUAAGAUUCUCUUUUCCCUAAAGUAUUCUGAUUUACUACAGAUGGAUGAAACAGUACACCAAAGGAAACAGAAGAUACACCCAAGGAAGGAUCUACAGAGUUUCCACUCUAAACAAACACAAUUAAUUUUGAUUAUACUGAAGACCUUCUCCUCAUUCAGACUCGCAGUAGAAUAACUGAACUUGGCAGAUACUUUUUGUGAAAUGUCCUGUCUUUACUGGGGCUUUUAUGUGCCAGCAAGCACAAAAGAAAAAGAAGGAAAGAAGUGAGAUAUAUAAAGCUGUAUCUUCAUUGCAAUAAAAAUGAUUUUUACUCAGCUACAGUAUUCUAGCACUGUACCCUGUAGAGUGGUAAGUGAAGAGGCCUGGUCAGUUUAAUACAAUGUAAAAUCUUAAGAAAGCAAACCACUCUAUUUCCUUAUUUUGGGAUAGCUGGUUCAACAUCAGGAGGAGAUAUUUUAUUGGCCUUGCCUGGCUACACUGAUAUAAAAACUACCUGGGAACUGUCUGCACUAGGACUGUAUCAAAACAAAGCUUCUUAACAUACCUUUUAUGGCAUUAAAAGAUGGCAGUUAAAAAAAUAAAUCUUUGUAGAAGCCUAAUACAUGCAGGGUUACUAGAAGCCUGCACAGACCUAGGUUCAAGGACAUAAUUUCUCCAGUCUUUGUUUUCUUCCUUUGUUAAACAGGGGCAACAAUGCUUUUUUCUGUGGUGUUGAAUAAUGGCCUUUUCUGCUAGUCCAGAAAUAAAAGUAAGUGAAGAUA
Haemorhous mexicanus (house finch) is the source of this 15690-nucleotide long non-coding RNA. RefSeq lists it as uncharacterized. NCBI's taxonomy places the organism in Eukaryota, Metazoa, Chordata, Aves, Passeriformes, Fringillidae. The transcript has 3 exons. The record is from RefSeq and is a predicted model, not a curated record.